GCUUACACAUGCAAGUUCGAGCGCCCCGCAAGGGGAGCGGCAGACGGGUGAGUAACGCGUGGGAAUCUACCUUUUGCUACGGAAUAACUCAGGGAAACUUGUGCUAAUACCGUAUGUGCCCUUCGGGGGAAAGAUUUAUCGGCAAAGGAUGAGCCCGCGUUGGAUUAGCUAGUUGGUGGGGUAAAGGCCCACCAAGGCGACGAUCCAUAGCUGGUCUGAGAGGAUGAUCAGCCACACUGGGACUGAGACACGGCCCAGACUCCUACGGGAGGCAGCAGUGGGGAAUAUUGGACAAUGGGCGCAAGCCUGAUCCAGCCAUGCCGCGUGAGUGAUGAAGGCCCUAGGGUUGUAAAGCUCUUUCACCGGUGAAGAUAAUGACGGUAACCGGAGAAGAAGCCCCGGCUAACUUCGUGCCAGCAGCCGCGGUAAUACGAAGGGGGCUAGCGUUGUUCGGAUUUACUGGGCGUAAAGCGCACGUAGGCGGACUUUUAAGUCAGGGGUGAAAUCCCAGAGCUCAACUCUGGAACUGCCUUUGAUACUGGAAGUCUUGAGUAUGGUAGAGGUGAGUGGAAUUCCGAGUGUAGAGGUGAAAUUCGUAGAUAUUCGGAGGAACACCAGUGGCGAAGGCGGCUCACUGGACCAUUACUGACGCUGAGGUGCGAAAAGCGUGGGGGAGCAAACAGGAUUAGAUACCCCUGGGUAGUCCCCCCCCGUAAACCAAUGAAUGUUUAGCCCGUCCGGGGUGUUUAC
Molecule: ribosomal RNA, 750 nt
Filed under: Ochrobactrum sp. F213
Lineage: Bacteria; Pseudomonadati; Pseudomonadota; Alphaproteobacteria; Hyphomicrobiales; Brucellaceae
Description: bacterial SSU rRNA
Rfam family: Bacterial small subunit ribosomal RNA
Source: RNAcentral